UACUUUUAAUUUUUUGACUUUUAUUUCACCAACUAUUCUUAAUUUAAGGAUCUUGUUGAAAAAAAAGUAGAAGUGAAUUUACCAUUUUUUUCCUUUUUAAAUAUACUAAACACAUACACACACUAACAUAUAUACACAAAAAAUGUCAGCACUAUCUACUCUCAUCUCUCUCUACCCUUUCUCUCUCUAAGCUCCCUCCACUCUCUCCUCCUCUCCAUGGAAAUAGCCAUGGCUGUCGACGGCCAUCCCAUCGCCGGCGAACCCUUCACCUCUUUUUUUCAUUCCAUCACAAACACUACCACCACCGCACCACCAUAACUCCAUCUCCCACAACCCACUAUUAAUCUUGUCUUUGUUCUCAACUUGUGAUAUGCUAUUUAGAUCUCUUAGUUGUCUCUAUUCUUGACUUUUGUAAUGUUAAAGUUCUUAUGUUAGCAAAUAUCAAUCGCCCAAAGUUCUUGAGUUUAAUUCUAUAUAUUCAUGUUUUUGUGCUUUGUGUCGAUCUACUUUUUUAUUUGAAGAUUCAAUUUUUUUUCUACUUUGUGUUUGCAAACUCAAUCACUCAUUUUCUUUUGGAAUGAUUGUGUUUGAAAUUAACAGAUCUAGUUUUCUUUCAUUGGUAUGUUUCUUUGUUUUGUUUAGAUCUAAUGUUGUGUAUUUUAAAAUUUAUUAUAUUAAUCUGUACGUAUGCAUGUUUCUUUGUUUCCUGCUAUUUGUUUUGUUUAUUUGAAG
This 732-nucleotide long non-coding RNA is filed under the name Capsicum annuum. Its description in RNAcentral is "long non-coding RNA (CANN_LNC021807)". The record is from RNAcentral. Lineage: Eukaryota; Viridiplantae; Streptophyta; Magnoliopsida; Solanales; Solanaceae.